UACUUCAUUCCAAAAAACAAGUCUUAGAGUUAAGAUUGUCACAAUGAGUGAAAAGUAUUAAGAAGGUUUAAAACAUUCAUUAAAUGUGGUAAGCUGUGAUGUCUUAGAUAAGACAAAGACCAACUAGGACCAAUUUAUGAAGAAUUUUGAUAAAAGGUACACUAACUCUUGCAUAUUUGUUUGUCAAGAAAUGGUUAUUGACAAAGAGAAUCUUAUAUGUCAAGGAGUCAGUGGGAGUCUUAAUGGUCUUGAAAGGUUUCAAGAACAAAUCAAAUAAACCUUAUCGAUCAUCACUAGCACACGAGUUGAGGUUUACAACCUAUCGUAAUGACAUUAUUUUGUUUCUGUGCCAAUCCAAUCGAGUUAAUUAUGCAUGAGAGUUCUAUGAGUUCUCAUUUUGAACGCAUAAAAGGAAAAGCACCUUAAUCAAUGAAAGGUACAUUGAUAGGAAAGGGUGAGCUGCUUAACUACUUGGAAGACAUGGUGGGCAGCUGUGCUACCAUAAGGCAAGAAAUCAAGAUUAAGAAAGUUCGGUCCAUAUGAGUUUGAAUUUGUCGUAAACUUUGGUUUUAACAAAUUCACAUGGAUAGGAACACAUACACCGUUUAAAUCUAAGUGUCAUAAGAUUUCCUCCUUCAUGAAAAUGAUUGUGAGGAAAUGAUUUCACUAAGAAAGAUUUUAAGAAGAUAGUGAUUGUAAAAUUGCAUUCUCGAAUUCAAUUAUGGUUACGGUAUCCCUUUCCAUAAUUUGAAUUGUGAGGUUUGGCAAUUAGUCUUAAUUGUUUAGACACACAUAUGAACUAUCGAAGGCAAAGGUGUAUAAGUUCAAGAAGCCUUGAUAAAAGAUUAUCAAAGCACUAUGUAUUAGAAACAUGGACUUAAGAAAUUCAAUAGGUAUUGUCUUUCUGGAAGUUAAGAUGUUUAAGAAUACAUGUCGAAGCUAGUGGGAGCAUAAGUGUUAUGUUUUAUAAUAAUCAUCAUGAUAGUGGGAGCAUAAAUGUUAUGAUUGUAUGAUUAUUAAGGCACGUAUUGCAAGUUGGCAAUAUUAAUUAUAGAAAACAAGAGUUAUACCUUGCAAAGUCGUAAGGGUUGUAAAGUUGUUUUGCUAUAAUUAAGGGAGAGAAUAUUAUGCUUCAUUUCAAAUCUAAAGGAUUAGGUUGAGAAAUGUUAAUAAAUUUAGUCAAAGGUACAUAGUGUGUUCUUAAAAUUUCGAUUAUGAUUACGGCAUUCCUCUUCACAAUUCGAAUUUUGAGAACAUAGCAAAUAAAACAUUAUGCGUCGUGUCCCAUACGCUUCGGGUAUAGGAUCGAUUGCAAAUGCUUUAAUGUUUGACCAUUCUAAAAUUUUCCAAAUGUCGAGCGCAUUUAGAGGGAAAAGGGACUAGAAUUGGUUUUGACUAAAAUAAUUAAACAACUAUCAAAGGACAAUCCAAAGUUUGACGAGGAUUGGUCGCUUGUGAGUAGUUGGAAGCAUGGUAUUGGAUGGACCAUAUCGACAUUAUUAUGAAUAGAAAAGAUUCUAUUAAGAAUGAGUUGUCAUAUGGAAAAUAUGGAAAUGUUUCCAUAUUGGAUGGACCAUAUCGACAUCAUUACGAAUAGAUAAGAUUCUAUUAAGAAUGAGUUGUCAUAUGGAAAAUAUGGAAGCGUGUCCAUAUUGGGAAUUGAAUAUUGAAAAUCUAUGUCUAGAUUAGAAACUUUUAUGCAAAAGGAUGUUCAAAGGAAUGUACUUUGAGUGAGAGACAUCAUAUCUAAGGAAUUGUCUUGUAACAAUCUCCGAUAGAGGACUUUGUAAUAUCAUUGGCAAUAGUCUUUGUGACUUUGGUGCAGUGACAUUACGAAAGGAUCAUUGCAUAAAAUGUUAGAAUCUAGCAUAUUCUAUAAGUAGCAAGAAUUUGAUAUUCUUUCACUUAUGAAAAAGGAUUUGGAGUUGUGAAAUGAGAAUGAUUGGAAAUGUGUUCAAUUUGAUCUAUUUCACAAAGUAAGAACCAUAGGUAAACAUUGUGUGCAUGCUAGGAGCAUGGGACAAGUGUAAUAAUUCAAGUAAGAAGUUGAUUACCCGAAACGACAAAUAAUGAGUAAUCGAUAUGGUGAUAAAUAAAAGGUGUUUUAUUUAUACUCAAAGGUUUGAGGCCAUAUGGGAUUAGUAUUAUUCUUGUGUUUCACUUUGCAUGUUUUGACUUCCUGAAUAAUUUAAUUGGUUAAGAACAGUCAAAUUAUUCGAACGGGCCACAGUCGUUCAUAUGUUGGAAGUAGGUAUGAAUGAAGACUGUCGUGAAUUGGUGUGUGGAUUGUCUAAAGAGUAUUAGACAUAAGCAAAUGUUUGCUGCAACGUUCAUGAGUGCUUAUGAAUAUGAUUUGAGCAUUGGAUUAAACCCACGCUCACUUGGAUCACUCCAUGAAUUGUAUCACGAGUGAUUGGUGAGACGAUAACAUCUUAUAUUCUUGAAACCGAGAUGUGUGAGUUGUAUCUUGCAAAUCGGUUGCACAUUGAUAAUAUGUAAACGCACUAGUAACUUGGUGUUAUAAAACAUAUUGUUGUGUGUGAUUCGGUGAGUGAGUGCAAGCAAGCAUUGUAUCAAAGUUUAUCCGUUCCUUUUAUCCAAAGUAGGAUAAAAGCGAUAUCUUUGGGCCCCUCGAUGAUUUAGUGAUGACAAACGUAAAUGCUCGGCCGGGCUAGGGCUAAUUUGAUUUGUUCAAUUAGUCAGUCGUCAUAAAUCGGGAAUCGAGAUAUAGUACAAAGAGAAUGAUUUGAAAUCAUAUCUCAUAUGAUAUCUAGAAUGGAGGAAUAUAUGAUCCCUUAUCUAAGGACACGCGUAUCUGAUAGGAUCAGAGUUGACAGCGGCUUUGGAAAGCUACGAUUGCAGAUCAGGAUCUGAAGUCAUACGCAGAAUAGUUAUUAGACUUAUCCAAGUGGGAGACUGUUGGAUUAGUGUCUAAGUCCAUAACUAUUUUGGUAUGUACUUGACCCGAUGGUGCAUGGUCCUUUUGGGUUGCCUUCACCAAAGCAACUUGAUAGGAUGAAUUAUGGAGAGAAAGGAUUAAAUAUGAUUUAUUAAUAUAUUAUGAGAAUAAUAUAUUAAAGGAGAAAUCAUAUUGUUUAAUUAAUAUUAGUCAAUAAUUAAUUGGUAAUUAGUUUUGUGACUAAAAGAGAUUAAUUAAACUUAAGGGACUGGAAUUGUAAUUAUAAGAUAAUUGCAAUUUGGGCCAUGGAUUGUCUUAAAUCAAGAGGUGGACGAAUUCUUAUGGGAAGCCCAUAAGGAAAUCGUCCAAGGGCUUGAUUAAAGGAGUCUAUGGGUUGCUUAGGGCUUAAGCAACCAAAUUAGGGUUUCCUUGUUAGAUAACCCUAAUAGCCUCACUAUAUAUAGAACCCUUAAGGCUCAAAAACGUGGGGAACUUCUUUUCUAGGGUUAGAACACGUUUUGGGCAGCCUCCAUCCUCUCUCCUCUUCAUCCUCUUGCUUAUGGUGUUUGUAAGCCAUUAGAGGAGUGACACUUGUGACUCUAAGCCUUCCAAAGUCAAUUCAAGGAGGAAUUGGGAUUGUUAUUGCUACAUAACAAUCAAGGUAAUAUCUUAAACCUAAUUAUAUGUUAAUAUUGAUUUCCAUAUGCUAGAAUUAGGGUUUAUAGUCUUGGAUUCAAAGCAUGUACAAUAGAGAAACCUAGAUCCAAGCAUUAGGGUUUGUAUGAGCACAUAGGAUGUCUUAUGACCAAAACCCAUCAGUGGUAUCAGAGCCUAGAUUGGUUUCAAUUGUAUUGAUGCAUUGUAUAUCUGAAAAAUUCGAUUUUUGGUGUUCUGGAGGCUGGACUCGCCGAGUCCAUAGCUGAACUCGCCGAGUCCAUGCAGACUCGACGAGUCCAAGCUUGACUCGACGAGUCAACUCGUCAGAUGGAGCAUAUCUCGGGAUUUCUUGCUGUUUUUGCUUUGGGAUAGUUACCUUAUCAUAUUAGAUCAAUAUAAAUCCGAUUUUAUGAUAUAUUUGACUAUAUUCUUGAUCUAAUUGAAGAUAUUUAUCAAUUAAUAAGAUAAUUGUUUCCUUAUGUGAUAAUUGAUUAAUUAUUUUGAUUAAAUUGAUAAAUUGUUUUGCAAGAAAUCAUUAAAUAAAUCAAAUAUGGAUAAUUAUGUGAUUAAAUGUUAAUUUAGAUUAUUUGUUAUUUGAUCCUUGUUGUUAUGAAAAGUUUCAUAUUUUCCCCUUUAGGUUUUAUAGUUUAAAUUUGAACCCAAAAGUUUUGUUGUUUUGAAAUUUAAAUAGUUGAAACCCUAAUGUUUUGAAAAAGGUUUCAAAACUUGCCCUCAAGUUUUGGAAUUUAAAUUUUGAUUAAAUGGUUUAAUUUUGAUGUAUAUUUAAAUUCUAAACCCUAAUGUGUUGAAAUGUUUCAAAACUUGCCCUCAAGUUUUGGAAUUUAAAAGUUGAUUAAAAGUUUAAUUAGGAAUGUUAAAUUCUAAAACUCUAGUAUUGUUUUGAAAAAGUUCAAAUCACACCCUUAUGGUUUUAUUAAUUAAUUAAGGUGUAUAAUUAAAAGAGGUUUAAUAAAUCCAUAAAAGUUUUGGUUUACAAUUUAAUUGAAUUAAAAGUAUAAUUGUUAAAUUUGACCACCUAGUAUUUUAAAAGUGUAAAAUACACCCUAUACUAUAUAUAACAUUAAAAGUCUAACAUUAUAUAUAUGUAUGAGUAAAAGUCAGUCUUACCGUUAGUAGGCCUCAUUCACGAAGCUGGUCUAUAAGGGGUGUUUAAGGAAAUUGCCUAUAAAAUGGCGAUUGAAUGGGUAUCCACUCUUACCCACCGCACUCUUGACUAGUGGAGGGUCGUUAGCCGAACGGGUAGGAUAGGACGAAACCUUCCAUUAUAAGUAUAAUGAAGUAUAAAAGUAACUAAAUGUUUUCAUAAAAUUCCCAAUCUUAGUUACUUAGGCAAAAGUGAAUUGAUGCAAUUCCAUGAAAUUACACUUUGUGCCCUUGCGAAGACGUUAGUGGAGCGUGUGUGGUUUACCGGCACACUAAAUGGUUCUAAGCAAAGGUAGCAAAGGGUGACUCAAUGUUUGUCAUAGUUCGGUGGAGCGUGUGUGGUUUACCGGCACAUCGAAUAGGUGACUGUAACAUGUGAGGGCACCAUGUAAGUUUGCAUGGUUAUUCACACCCGCUUUGUGAUCCUCGGCAUCCCAGUCACAAACUAGAGGGGCAUAUCGAGAUUUAAACAUGCCAUUGAAAUGUUCAAUGAAUCUCAAAGGAUCUAGGAGUUUUCAUAGAUUUAAAACUUAAAUUUCUUUUUCGUUUUUCAUGGUGGAAAUUAGUGAAUCGUCAUUCACUUACCUUCAAAUGUUCUGCAAUUUGGGUUACGGCAUCCCUCUCCCGAGUUGUAGAAUAUUGUGUUGGGUCCUAGCCUUAGUAUCUCAUUUGGGUGAUUUACUAAGGACUCAAUCAAUCAACUAACUUGAAUUCGUUUUCUCCCGUUUUGUAGAUGUCAAAGUUCGACAACUAUGGUCUUCCCAAAUCCCGUGGAACAAGCAUUCCACAUGAAGAUGAUAUUCCACGAUUCGAUCGAGGAACAAGAAAUCAUGCUUCACUUCCUCCACCUCCUCCAAUUAUUCUCCCUAACCCACAAGUUCAAAGGCUUGAAAAGUUCAAGAUCACUCAAGCCCUUUUGGCAAGUAAACAUAAAGAAGGAAAGUCGGUGUGUGCACACGUCCUAGGGAUGAAGUCACACAUUGAUAGGUUAAGAAUGUUGGGAUCCGUUGUCUGUGAGGAAAUGGCUGUUGAUUGGGUUCUUCAGUCACUUCCUAACUCAUAUAGUGAGUUCGUAAGAGAGUACUAUAUGAUGAACCGCGACGUGACCCUUAUAGAUCUCACCUAUAUGCUUAUUGCUGCUGAAUCAGCAAUGGUUUGGCGCAAUAGAAAAGCAAAGUUGAUUGGUGAAUCUGCCUUCAAGACCUCUAUGGAUAUAGACAAUGGCAACGAAAGACAUGCUAUGAUCGAAAAGUUUGAUCAUAAGAGAAAGGCAAUGUCUGAAGUAGUUCCAUGUCAUGUUCCAAAAGAGUCAAUUUGCUUUUAUUGCCAAGAGAAAGGGCAUUGGAGACGAAGCUGCCCCAUUUACCUAAGAGAUCUAAGAGAUGGGAGAGUCGAAACGUAUGGCUCUAAUAUAGGUAAAAUCCAUUAACUAACUCUUUUAAGCUUCUAUUCUAGAUUCUUAAUACAUAAUGUGAUAAGAUUACAAUUGAUGUUUUGUAGGAUCGAAGAAAAGAAAGGAAGCUUAAGGGAAGAAGUGAGCAGAAUCUAACCGUGAAGGAAUGGAUUUCGAUCGCAUUUCUCGAAGAUUAGAUUCUUGAGCUACUACUUAGAGUUAGAAUUAGAUUGCUAAGAAAGAUGUAUUAGCAAAGUUUUUCAAUGAAUUGCAUUGUAAGGACAAAUUUUUCCGCAAUAAAAUAAAUUUUGAUUUUAAAUUUUAUUUAUUUAUCCUUACAAUGGCGUGUAUGAAAAAUUGAUGUUAAAAUGUUUCUAUUAUUAGCAAUAAUGGAUUUGGUUCUUAUUAUGUUAUUUAUGGAAAGUCGAGAAUUUACCAAAUAGGGAGAGUUUCUCAUCGCCCAAGUUUCAAUUGGACAGAAACUUGGAAUCAUGCAACUUGGUUGCACGAUGAAUGAGAAAUUUCAUAUUUGGAAAUUAGACUAAUUCAUUGACAAAGUGUCAAGUGAAGGACUAGGAGAUCGAGUACACAAAGUUGCGUGUUGAUCAAGUCCACCAUAAGAGUAACAAAGAUAUUCGUCAUGAUUUACUAAAGGUUUAGUAAAUAUGAUUAUACUUAUAAGAUUAAGUGUAAUUCUGAAUUGAUUGAAAAAGUUUAAAUCAAUAGCAGAACGAAUAAGAAGAAUCAAGUAGGCAGAAAGAUAAAAGUUUCUCCAUUCUAAGAAGAAGGGAGAGUACCUUUUAUGCUUUAUGAUAGGUCUUAAUGAUUAAGAACCAUAUCUCAAUUGAUCCUCUAAGUGAGUCUUAGUACAAUUGUAUGUCUAAGAAGAGGAAUCAAGAAUUGAAGAAAUGGUUAAAUCAAGAAGUCAAUCAUACUUCGUUCCAAUAACAAGUCUUAAAGUUAAGAUUGUGACAUUGAGUGAAAAGUAUUAAGAAGGUUUAUAACAUUCAUCAAAUGUGGAAAGUUGUGAUGUCUUGGAUAAGACAAAGACCAACUAGGACCAAUUUAUGAAGUGUUUUGAUAAAAGCUACACUAACUCUUGAAUAUUUGUUUGUCAAGAAAUGGUUAUUGACAAGAGAAUCUUAUAUGUCAAGGAGUCAGUGGGAGUCUUAAUGGUCUUGAAAGGUUUCAAGAACAAAUCAAAUAAACCUUAUCGAUCAUCACUAGCACACGAGUUGAGGUUUACAACCUAUCGUGUUGACAUUAUUUUGAUUCUGUGCCAAUCCAAUCGAGUUAAUUAUGCAUGUGAGUUCUAUGAGUUCUCAUUUUGAACGCAUAAAAGGCAAAGCACCUUAAUCAAUGAAAGGUACAUUGAUAGGAAAGGGUGAGCUGCUUAACUACUUGGAAGACAUGGUGGGCAGCUGUGCUACCAUAAGGCAAGAAAUCAAGAUUAAGAAAGUUCGGUCCAUAUGAGUUUGAAUUUGUCGUAAACUUUGGUUUUAACAAAUUCACAUGGAUAGGAACACAUACACCGUUUAAAUCUAAGUGUCAUAAGAUUUCCUCCUUCAUGAAAAUGAUUGUGAGGAAAUGCUUUCACUAAGAAAGAUUUUAAGAAGAUAGUGAUUGUAAAAUUGCAUUCUCGAAUUCAAUUAUGGUUACGGUAUCCCUUUCCAUAAUUUGAAUUGUGAGGUUUGGCAAUUAGUCUUAAUUGUUUAGACACACAUAUGAACUAUCGAAGGCAAAGGUGUAUAAGUUCAAGAAGCCUUGAUAAAAGAUUAUCAAAGCACUAAGUAUUAGAAACAUGAACUUAAGAAAUUCAAUAAGCAUUGUUUUUCUGAAAGUUAAGAUGUUUAUGAAUACAUGUCGAAGCUAGUGGGAGCAUAAGUGUUAUGUUUUAUAAUAAUCAUCAUGAUAGUGGGAGCAUAAAUGUUAUGAUUGUAUGAUUAUUAAGGAAAGUAUUGCAAGGUUAGCAAUAUUAAUUAUAGAAAACAAGAGUCAUACUUUGCAAAGUUGUAAGAGUUGAAAAGUUGUUUUGCUAUAAUUAAGGGAGAGAAUAUUAUGCUUCAUUUCAAAUCUAAAGGAUUAGGUUGAGAAAUGUUAAUAAAUUUAGUCAAAGGUACAUAGUGUGUUCUUAAAAUUUCGAUUAUGAUUACGGCAUUCCUCUUCACAAUUCGAAUUUUGAGAACAUAGCAAAUAAAACAUUAUGCGUCGUGUCCCAUACGCUUCGGGUAUAGGAUCGAUUGCAAAUGCUUUAAUGUUUGACCAUUCUAAAAUUUUCCAAAUGUCUAGCGCAUUUAGAGGGAAAAAGGACUAGAAUCGGUUUUGACUAAAAUAAUUAAACAACUAUCAAAGGACAAUCCAAAGUUCGACGAGGAUUGGUCGCUUGUGAGUAGUUGGAAGUAUAGUAUUGGAAAAUAUGGAAAUGUUUCCAUAUUGGAUGGACCAUAUCGACAUCAUUAUGAAUAGAUAAGAUUCUAUUAAGAAUGAGUUGUCAUAUGGAAAAUAUGG
This 8621-nucleotide long non-coding RNA is filed under the name Lactuca sativa (garden lettuce). RNAcentral's name for it is "long non-coding RNA (LSAT_LNC006945)". Lineage: Eukaryota; Viridiplantae; Streptophyta; Magnoliopsida; Asterales; Asteraceae. The record is from RNAcentral.